This 477-nucleotide ribosomal RNA is filed under the name uncultured bacterium. Its description in RNAcentral is "partial 16S ribosomal RNA". It matches the Rfam family "Bacterial small subunit ribosomal RNA", at positions 28 to 523 of the family's 1533-position model. The record is from RNAcentral.
GACGAACGCUGGCGGCGUGCUUAACACAUGCAAGUCGAACGGUAAGGCCCUUCGGGGUACACGAGUGGCGAACGGGGGAGUAACAAGUGGGUGAUCUGCCCUGCACUUCGGGAUAAGCCUGGGAAACCGGGUCUAAUACCGGAUAGGACCCCGGUCUGCAUGGUAUGGGGGGGAAAGCUUUUGCGGUGUGGGAUGGGCCCGCGGCCUAUCAGCUUGUUGGUGGUGUCAUGGCCUACCAAGGCGACGACGGGUAGCCGGCCUGAGGUGGGGGCCGUCCACACUGGGACUGAGAUACGGCCCAGACUCCUACGGGAGGCAGCAGUGGGGAAUAUGCACAAUGGGCGCAAGCCUGAUGCAGCGACGCCGCGUGAGGGAUGACGGCCUUCGGGUUGUAAACCUCUUUCAGCAUCGACGAAGCGAAAGUGACGGUAGGUGCGGAAGAAGGACCGGCCAACUACGUGCCAGCCGCCGCCGUAG